This is a long non-coding RNA of Oryzias latipes (Japanese medaka), 2600 nucleotides long. RefSeq lists it as uncharacterized. The record is from RefSeq and is a predicted model, not a curated record. NCBI's taxonomy places the organism in Eukaryota, Metazoa, Chordata, Actinopteri, Beloniformes, Adrianichthyidae.
AAAGCUUUGCCCUGGUGAGAUAUUUGGACAUUCAAGACACUGAGGGGAACAUACUGUUUGGCUGCAAGUAACCGCUACAAUAGUGGAGAUUGCCAAGAUACAGGAAGAGACACGAUGGCAGUUCUGCAGGCUGCACUGUUUGUCCUUAUGUUGAUGACCGCAACACAAUCUAAACCUGUCUACCAAAAUGUUGAAGAGGAUUCAUCCGAAACUUCCGAGGCUGACUCAUCAGAAGAGAUUCCUGCUCAGUCCCAGCAGCCAGAGCUAACAGGCACAUUAAUGCCUAAUGCUGUGGAGGAAGAUGACUCUAUGGAGACCGAACAAGAACAAGAAGAGUCUGAAACCUCUGCUGACAGCAGUACCCCUGAAACUACCCAAGAAAUAGAAGUUCCUCUGAAUGGAUCCAACCCUGAAGCUGCAGGUCUGCAGGUUCUGCCAGAUGCAGAAGCCUCACCACAGCCUCAAGUUAAUGUUAAUGAUGUAAGUUCUACCAAAGACCUGCUGACUGUCACCACGACACCACUUCCAUUCUCCCAAACUAUGCCCUUUGUAAUCCCCAUUGGAGCAACCCUUGCUGGGACCCCUGUUUGUUUUACUGUGCAGCUCACAACUCCUGAAACAGCACCACUGAGAGGUGACAGCUACUGAUCCCAACUGAGUUUAUACUAUUGUUUUAUAAAAUCUGUCUCGUUUUGUUGUGCAUGCAAACUCCCAUGUGAAUAUUACUGUAAUGGUAAGAGAAAAAAGCAUGUGAGCCCUUUGGGCUGCUUGCCAAGCAUGACAUCAGCAUUGCUCACCCUUACUUGGAUUUCUGUCUAAAUUGGAGAGAAAAUGUGUUCUGAUCUUCAAGUAAGUCACAACAGUAAAAAAACAGUCUUUCUAAGCCAGGGCUGGGCAAACUUUUUGAUUCAUGGGCCACAAAUGGUUCUAGAAUUAUAUUAAGGGCUGGACCAGGAGCAAAUGCAUGGAGUAUUUUGAUAAUCAAUCUCUUGAGAGAAAGAAAUAACAUGGGAUCCGAAUGAAAACAUGCUUUAAUUUAUGUUUAUAUAUUUGUUGGUUUAUGCUGGAUUCAUGUGGUGUUGGAAUUUUGGGAAAAAUGCCUGUCCAACGUGGAGAACACACAUGAACUUCAGAAAAACAACAAAAUCAUCCAACACCACAUGAAGGUAGAAUAACUUUUUUCUGGACCUAAACAAAGGUUUUUGUAUUUUUAUGUGCCAUCUAUGGUUAGACACCAGCAUCACAGGGAAAAUAAAACAUUAAUAAGGAUUAUCAAUGUUAAUGUAUAGAAGUUUGAUGGACCACAUUAAAUCAUUUAACAGGCCACAAUGACCCCUGGGCCAUAGUUUGCCCAUCCUUGGUCUAAGCUAUUACCAAACAUGCCGUGCUGUUUUAGUUAGACACAACGUGCAAAAUUCAUUGGUCAGGGUGGUAACACCCUGUUAAAAUUUGGGGUUUUAAAACUGGUUGAUUCUCCCAUUGGGGGAGAUGACCUCAACCAAACAUUUUGUGAAAUCACAAUCAAGAGUAUUUUCUAAUCAUUUGUUUUUAUAAAACUGUUUAAGUGAAUCUAUGGUCUUGGGAUAUCUAUGGUGGGGAAUCAUACUCUUGAGGUUAUGCCACUGCAUCUCAGUCAAGCCAAGGUCAGGACUCUGGUUGAGCCUGUUUUGAAGAUGUAUUUUCUUCUGUGCAUUUACUUCUUUAAUUUUAGUUUUUUAUUCUGCUCCGCAUCCUGUCUAGCUUCAGUUGGUCUAAAGCUGUUCUGCAAAAUGGUUUGGCAAUACUUGGGAAGCAUUUUUACAAUAACAAUCUGUCCAGGUAAAGCAGCCCCUAACCAUGACGCUUCCUCCACCUCAAUUCACAGUCGUAUAUUUGCAGCACUGUGCUAUUUACAAACUCAAUUUGAGCUUCACCUGUCCACAGAAUGCUUUUUCUGGUAGAUGUUCUUUUACAAAACGUAAUUUUAAAGUUAAAGUCUCAUUAGUUGUCAAGCACCUAUUGUGUGAAAUUUGUUCUCCACAUUUGACCCAUCCCCUGGGGGAGCAGUGAGCUGCAGACAGCCGCACUCGGGAACCAUUUGGAGGUUUAACCCACCAAUCCAACCCCUUUAAGUUCAGUGAUAAGCAGGGAGGCACAGGUUUUUGGUAUGACUCGGCCUGGAUUUGAAUUCACAACCUUCCAGUCCCAGGGCAGACACUUUACCACAGGGCCACUGAGCUGAUUUUUGUUGGAAUGUUUUUUUUCUUCCUCUUUAGUUUUCCUUCUAUAAACUCUCUUCCUUGUUUUGUUAAUGAGUUUUCGACAGAAAAUCUGUAGAAUGACAUGAUCAUGAUCAUCCAGGCUUUUAAAGAUCAACGGCAACCAUUGAAAUGAAAUCACGCUUAAAUGAAUUGUUAUCCACAACUAGCUGUAUUAAAAGGAUUACUUUUUGAAAACACAUUUUAAAACUAUUUUUCACCAAAUAGAAUAUCAAAACAUGUUUUUCCUUUUCUUUCUCUGGGUGGGUUAUUAAAAGGGUUAAAUACAGCAAAAGAUCAAUCUGUUUAACAUAUGAGCACUCGUGUAAAAUGUUAUGAUUUACAUUCAUUUAGAACUGAAUG